ACGAGAUCUUCGGGUCUAGUGGCGCACGGGUGCGUAACGCGUGGGAAUCUGCCCUUUGGUUCGGAAUAACAGUUGGAAACGACUGCUAAUACCGGAUGAUGACGAAAGUCCAAAGAUUUAUCGCCAGAGGAUGAGCCCGCGUAGGAUUAGCUAGUUGGUGUGGUAAAGGCGCACCAAGGCGACGAUCCUUAGCUGGUCUGAGAGGAUGAUCAGCCACACUGGGACUGAGACACGGCCUAGACUCCUACGGGAGGCAGCAGUGGGGAAUAUUGGACAAUGGGCGAAAGCCUGAUCCAGCAAUGCCGCGUGAGUGAUGAAGGCCUUAGGGUUGUAAAGCUCUUUUACCCGGGAUGAUAAUGACAGUACCGGGAGAAUAAGCUCCGGCUAACUCCGUGCCAGCAGCCGCGGUAAUACGGAGGGAGCUAGCGUUGUUCGGAAUUACUGGGCGUAAAGCGCACGUAGGCGGCUUUGUAAGUUAGAGGUGAAAGCCUGGAGCUCAACUCCAGAACUGCCUUUAAGACUGCAUCGCUUGAAUCCAGGAGAGGUGAGUGGAAUUCCGAGUGUAGAGGUGAAAUUCGUAGAUAUUCGGAAGAACACCAGUGGCGAAGGCGGCUCACUGGACUGGUAUUGACGCUGAGGUGCGAAAGCGUGGGGAGCAUACUAGGAUUAGAUACCCUGGGAGAUCCACACCGUAUACGAUGAUAACU
RNAcentral lists this ribosomal RNA (707 nucleotides) under uncultured bacterium. RNAcentral describes it as "bacterial SSU rRNA". It matches the Rfam family "Bacterial small subunit ribosomal RNA", at positions 66 to 817 of the family's 1533-position model. The record is from RNAcentral.